GUCCUGGCCCUAAACGGUGCGUACUUGCUGUAAGCGGAUUCGACCCCGCUUGUGGCGAAGUUAACACGAUAAGUACGCCGCCUGGGAAGUACGGUCGCAAGAUUAAAACUCAAAGAAAUUGACGGGGCCUGCACAAGCGGUGGAGUAUGUGGCUUAAUUCGAUGCAACGCGAAGAACCUUACCUGGUCUUGACAUGCACGUAGUAGAAGCUUGAAAGAGUAACGAGGUAGCAAUACCAGCGUGCACAGGUGCUGCAUGGCUGUCGU
This 266-nucleotide ribosomal RNA is filed under the name uncultured bacterium. RNAcentral's name for it is "partial 16S ribosomal RNA". It matches the Rfam family "Bacterial small subunit ribosomal RNA", at positions 793 to 1055 of the family's 1533-position model. The record is from RNAcentral.